Molecule: ribosomal RNA, 484 nt
Filed under: uncultured bacterium
Lineage: Bacteria
Description: partial 16S ribosomal RNA
Rfam family: Bacterial small subunit ribosomal RNA
Source: RNAcentral
AUUGAACGCUGGCGGCAGGCCUAACACAUGCAAGUCGAGCGGUAGAGCGAAGCUUGCUUCUCUUGAGAGCGGCGGACGGGUGAGUAAUGCCUAGGAAUCUGCCUGGUAGUGGGGGAUAACGUUCGGAAACGGACGCUAAUACCGCAUAAGUCCUACGGGCGAAAGCAGGGGACCUUCGGGCCUUGCGAUCUCAGAUGAGCCUAGGUCGGAUUAGCUAGUUGGUGGGGUAAUGGCUCACCAAGGCGACGAUCCGUAACUGGUCUGAGAGGAUGAUCAGUCACACUGGAACUGAGACACGGUCCAGACUCCUACGGGAGGCAGCAGUGGGGAAUAUUGGACAAUGGGCGAAAGCCUGAUCCAGCCAUGCCGCGUGUGUGAAGAAGGUCUUCGGAUUGUAAAGCACUUUAAGUUGGGAGGAAGGGCAGUAAAUUAAUACUUUGCUGUUUUGACGUUACCGACAGAAUAAGCACCGGCUAACUCUGUG